GUGGGGAAUAUUGGACAAUGGGCGAAAGCCUGAUCCAGCAAUGCCGCGUGAGUGAUGAAGGCCUUAGGGUUGUAAAGCUCUUUUACCCGGGAUGAUAAUGACAGUACCGGGAGAAUAAGCCCCGGCUAACUCCGUGCCAGCAGCCGCGGUAAUACGGAGGGGGCUAGCGUUGUUCGGAAUUACUGGGCGUAAAGCGCGCGUAGGCGGCUUUGUAAGUUAGAGGUGAAAGCCCGGAGCUCAACUUCGGAAUUGCCUUUAAGACUGCAUCGCUAGAAUCGUGGAGAGGUGAGUGGAAUUCCGAGUGUAGAGGUGAAAUUCGUAGAUAUUCGGAAGAACACCAGUGGCGAAGGCGACUCACUGGACACGUAUUGACGCUGAGGUGCGAAAGCGUGGGGAGCAAACAGGAUUAGAAACCCUAGUAGUCC
This 425-nucleotide ribosomal RNA is filed under the name uncultured bacterium. RNAcentral describes it as "bacterial SSU rRNA". It matches the Rfam family "Bacterial small subunit ribosomal RNA", at positions 354 to 796 of the family's 1533-position model. The record is from RNAcentral.